Molecule: ribosomal RNA, 440 nt
Filed under: uncultured bacterium
Lineage: Bacteria
Description: partial 16S ribosomal RNA
Rfam family: Bacterial small subunit ribosomal RNA
Source: RNAcentral
CCUACGGGUGGCAGCAGUAGGGAAUUUUGCGCAAUGAGCGAAAGCCUGACGCAGCAACGCCGCGUGAACGAGACGCCCUUCGUGGUGUAAAAUUCUGUCAGUCGGGGCGAAAAAUGACGGUACCCACAGAGUACGCACCGGCUAACGCCGUGCCAGCAGCCGCGGUCAUACGGAGGGUGCAAGCGUGGUCCGGAAUCAUUGGGCGUAAAGAGUUCGUAGGCGGCAUGUAAAGUCAGGUGUGAAAGGCGCAGGCUCAACCUGUGUAUGGCACUUGAUACUUGCAGGCUGGAAUGCGGUAGAGGUAAAGGGAAUUCCUGGUGUAGCGGUGAAAUGCUUAGAUAUCAGGAGGAACAUCGGUGGCGUAAGCGCUUUACUGGGCCGUAAUUGACGCUGAGGAACGAAAGCCAGGGUAGCAAAUGGGAUUAGAUACCCGUGUAGUC